GACGAACGCUGGCGGCGUGCCUAACACAUGCAAGUGGAGCGACGAACCAGGGCUUGCCCUGGGGCUAAGCCGCGAACGGGUGAGUAACACGUGGGUAACCUGCCCCGAUUACUGGGACAACUCGAGGAAACUCGAGCUAAUACCGGAUGUGCCCACCUCACAUCAGUGAGGUGUGUAAAGGAAGCUUCGGCCUCCGAAUCGGGAUGGGCCCGCGGCCCAUUAGCUAGUUGGUGAGGUAAAGGCUCACCAAGGCUUCGAUGGGUAGCUGGUCUGAGAGGACGAUCAGCCACACUGGGACUGAGACACGGCCCAGACUCCUACGGGAGGCAGCAGUGGGGAAUCUUGCGCAAUGCGCGAAAGCGUGACGCAGCAACGCCGCGUGGGGGAAGAAGGCUUUAGGGUUGUAAACCCCUUUCAGUUGGGACGAAGCCUCGUCCGUUAAUAGCGGUGCGAGGUGACGGUACCUUCACAAGAAGCUCCGGCUAACUACGUGCCAGCCGCCGCAGUAAUAC
RNAcentral lists this ribosomal RNA (512 nucleotides) under uncultured bacterium. RNAcentral's name for it is "bacterial SSU rRNA". It matches the Rfam family "Bacterial small subunit ribosomal RNA", at positions 28 to 526 of the family's 1533-position model. The record is from RNAcentral.